GACGAACGCUGGCGGCGUGCUUAACACAUGCAAGUCGAACGGAAAGGCCCUGCUUUUGUGGGGUGCUCGAGUGGCGAACGGGUGAGUAACACGUGAGUAACCUGCCCUUGACUUUGGGAUAACUUCAGGAAACUGGGGCUAAUACCGGAUAGGAGCUCCUGCUGCAUGGUGGGGGUUGGAAAGUUUCGGCGGUUGGGGAUGGACUCGCGGCUUAUCAGCUUGUUGGUGGGGUAGUGGCUUACCAAGGCUUUGACGGGUAGCCGGCCUGAGAGGGUGACCGGCCACAUUGGGACUGAGAGACGGCCCAGACGCCUACGGGAGGCAGCAGUGGGGAAUAUUGCACAAUGGGCGGAAGCCUGAUGCAGCAACGCCGCGUGCGGGAUGACGGCCUUCGGGUUAUAAACCGCUUUCGCCUGUGACGAAGCGUGAGUGACGGUAAUGGGUAAAGAAGCACCGGCUAACUACGUG
RNAcentral lists this ribosomal RNA (468 nucleotides) under uncultured bacterium. RNAcentral's name for it is "partial 16S ribosomal RNA". It matches the Rfam family "Bacterial small subunit ribosomal RNA", at positions 28 to 507 of the family's 1533-position model. The record is from RNAcentral.